RNAcentral lists this ribosomal RNA (492 nucleotides) under uncultured bacterium. RNAcentral's name for it is "partial 16S ribosomal RNA". It matches the Rfam family "Bacterial small subunit ribosomal RNA", at positions 28 to 507 of the family's 1533-position model. The record is from RNAcentral.
GAUGAACGCUCGCUACAGGCUUAGCACAUGCAAGUCGAGGGGAAACGGCAUUGAGUGCUUGCACUCUUUGGACGUCGACCGGCGCACGGGUGAGUAACGCGUAUCCAACCUUCCCAUUACUGUGGGAUAACCUGCCGAAAGGCAGACUAAUACCGCCUAGUCUUCGAUGACGGCAUCAGAUUUGAAGUAAAGAUUUAUCGGUAAUGGAUGGGGAUGCGUCUGAUUAGCUUGUUGGCGGGGUAACGGCCCACCAAGGCUACGAUCAGUAGGGGUUCUGAGAGGAAGGUCCCCCACAUUGGAACUGAGACACGGUCCAAACUCCUACGGGAGGCAGCAGUGAGGAAUAUUGGUCAAUGGAUGGAAGUCUGAACCAGCCAAGUAGCGUGCAGGAUGACGGCCCUAUGGGUUGUAAACUGCUUUUGUAUGGGGAUAAAGUUAGGGACGUGUCCCUAUUUGCAGGUACCAUACGAAUAAGGACCGGCUAAUUCCGUG